This 245-nucleotide ribosomal RNA is filed under the name uncultured Desulfonatronobacter sp. RNAcentral describes it as "partial 16S ribosomal RNA". It matches the Rfam family "Bacterial small subunit ribosomal RNA", at positions 524 to 768 of the family's 1533-position model. Lineage: Bacteria; Pseudomonadati; Thermodesulfobacteriota; Desulfobacteria; Desulfobacterales; Desulfosalsimonadaceae. The record is from RNAcentral.
UACGGAGGGUGCAAGCGUUAUUCGGAUUUACUGGGCGUAAAGGGCGCGUAGGCGGUUGAUCAAGUCAGAUGUGAAAUCCCGGGGCUCAACCCCGGAAGUGCAUCUGAAACUGGUCGGCUUGAGUAUGGUAGAGGGAAGUGGAAUUCCUGGUGUAGCGGUGAAAUGCGUAGAUAUCAGGAGGAACACCGGUGGCGAAGGCGACUUCCUGGACCAAAACUGACGCUGAGGCGCGAAGGUGUGGGGAG